GGACGGGGCCCGCACAAGGCGGUGGAGUAUGUGGUUUAAUUCGAUGCAACGCGAAGAACCUUACCUGGUCUUGACAUCCCGGAGACCCUUAGGAAACUAGGGGGUGCUUCCAUCUGGAAGAAUCUGGAGACAGGUGCUGCAUGGCUGUCGUCAGCUCGUGUCGUGAGAUGUUGGGUUAAGUCCCGCAACGAGCGCAACCCUUGCCUUUAGUUGCCAGCAGUUCGGCUGGGCACUCUAAAGGGACUGCCGGUGUUAAACCGGAGGAAGGUGGGGAUGACGUCAAGUCCUCAUGGCCUUUAUGACCAGGGCUACACACGUACUACAAUGGCCGAUACAAAGGGCAGCGACACUGCGAGGUGAAGCCAAUCCCGUAAAAUCGGUCUCAGUCCGGAUUGGAGUCUGCAACUCGACUCCAUGAAGUUGGAAUCGCUAGUAAUCGUGGAUCAGCAUGCCACGGUGAAUACGUUCCCGGGCCUU
RNAcentral lists this ribosomal RNA (477 nucleotides) under uncultured Desulfobulbus sp. RNAcentral describes it as "bacterial SSU rRNA". It matches the Rfam family "Bacterial small subunit ribosomal RNA", at positions 916 to 1381 of the family's 1533-position model. Lineage: Bacteria; Pseudomonadati; Thermodesulfobacteriota; Desulfobulbia; Desulfobulbales; Desulfobulbaceae. The record is from RNAcentral.